UUAUUUAGUUUAUUAUAUUUUAUUUUAUUUUUAUAAUUUUUAAUAGAAAUAAUUUUAUUUUUUAUUGUCUUAGUAUAUUUUGUGGAAUUGAUUUUUUUUAUAAUAGUUUAUUAGUAAUGUAAUUGAAUUUUGUAAUAAUUAUUUAUAUUUUAGAAAGUAGAUUUGUAUUAUUGUACAUUUUGUAACAGGGUA
RNAcentral lists this ribosomal RNA (192 nucleotides) under Paropaon sp. OR337. RNAcentral describes it as "partial 16S ribosomal RNA". Lineage: Eukaryota; Metazoa; Arthropoda; Insecta; Orthoptera; Acrididae. The record is from RNAcentral.